Molecule: unclassified non-coding RNA, 207 nt
Filed under: Hevea brasiliensis (rubber tree)
Lineage: Eukaryota; Viridiplantae; Streptophyta; Magnoliopsida; Malpighiales; Euphorbiaceae
Source: RNAcentral
GAAAGCACAAGCAUGAGCAUCACUAGGAUCCCAGCAAGUCCUCACGAAGAACUCCCAAUUCUAAGCACCCAAGAAAAUUCUGGAGAAGGGAUCAAAGAAGCUCUAGAUCCGCUUUGAGCUGAUGAUGUAGAAGAACAAGACGAUGAUGAACUAGUAGUUCUAAUGGCGAUUAUUAAUCCAGCAAGAAUCAUUGGAAGAACAAAUCCA